This 270-nucleotide ribosomal RNA is filed under the name uncultured Lachnospiraceae bacterium. RNAcentral's name for it is "partial 16S ribosomal RNA". It matches the Rfam family "Bacterial small subunit ribosomal RNA", at positions 73 to 339 of the family's 1533-position model. The record is from RNAcentral. Lineage: Bacteria; Bacillati; Bacillota; Clostridia; Lachnospirales; Lachnospiraceae.
UCAAAGCUUGCUUUGAUGGAUGGCGACCGGCGCACGGGUGAGUAACGCGUGGGUAACCUGCCUCAUACAGGGGAAUAACAGUUAGAAAUGGCUGCUAAUGCCGCAUAAGCGCACAGGGCCGCAUGGUCUGGUGUGAAAAACUCCGGUGGUAUGAGAUGGACCCGCGUCUGAUUAGGUAGUUGGCGGGGUAACGGCCCACCAAGCCGACGAUCAGUAGCCGACCUGAGAGGGUGACCGGCCACAUUGGGACUGAGACACGGCCCAGACUCC